This 71-nucleotide transfer RNA is filed under the name Marmota monax (woodchuck). RNAcentral describes it as "tRNA.Ala". Lineage: Eukaryota; Metazoa; Chordata; Mammalia; Rodentia; Sciuridae. The record is from RNAcentral.
GGGGUUGCAGCUCAGUGGUAGAGCGCCUUCCUAGCAUGUGUGUAGCACUGAGUUCGAUUCUCAGCACCACA